Molecule: transfer RNA, 71 nt
Rfam family: tRNA
About the family: Transfer RNA (tRNA) molecules are approximately 80 nucleotides in length. Their secondary structure includes four short double-helical elements and three loops (D, anti-codon, and T loops).
CCUCUCGUAGCUCAGUGGUAGAGCAGCUGGUUGUGAUCCAGCAGGCGGCGGUUCGAUUCCGCUCGGGGGGA